This 460-nucleotide ribosomal RNA is filed under the name uncultured bacterium. Its description in RNAcentral is "partial 16S ribosomal RNA". It matches the Rfam family "Bacterial small subunit ribosomal RNA", at positions 338 to 795 of the family's 1533-position model. The record is from RNAcentral.
CCUACGGGUGGCAGCAGUGAGGAAUAUUGGUCAAUGGACGAGAGUCUGAACCAGCCAAGUAGCGUGAAGGAUGACUGCCCUAUGGGUUGUAAACUUCUUUUAUAUGGGAAUAAAAUGUUCCACGUGUGGGAUUUUGUAUGUACCAUAUGAAUAAGGAUCGGCUAACUCCGUGCCAGCAGCCGCGGUAAUACGUAGGAUCCGAGCGUUAUCCGGAUUUAUUGGGUUUAAAGGGAGCGUAGGUGGAUUGUUAAGUCAGUUGUGAAAGUUUGCGGCUCAACCGUAAAAUUGCAGUUGAAACUGGCAGUCUUGAGUACAGUAGAGGUGGGCGGAAUUCGUGGUGUAGCGGUGAAAUGCUUAGAUAUCACGAAGAACUCCGAUUGCGAAGGCAGUUCACUGGACUGCAACUGACACUGAGGCUCGAAAGUGUGGGUAUCAAACAGGAUUAGAUACCCGUGUAGUC